This 397-nucleotide ribosomal RNA is filed under the name uncultured bacterium. RNAcentral describes it as "bacterial SSU rRNA". It matches the Rfam family "Bacterial small subunit ribosomal RNA", at positions 29 to 417 of the family's 1533-position model. The record is from RNAcentral.
AACGAACGCUGGCGGCGCGCCUAAUACAUGCAAGUCGAGCGAGAAGACGUAGCAAUACGUUUGUAAAGCGGCGAACGGGUGAGGAAUACAUGGGUAACCUACCCUAGAGUGGGGAAUAACUAGCCGAAAGGUUAGCUAAUACCGCGUACGCUCCUUGGACUUCGGUUCAGGGAGGAAAGCGAUACCGAGGGUAUCGCGCUCUUGGAUGGGCUCAUGUCCUAUCAGCUUGUUGGGAGGUAACGGCUCACCAAGGCUUCGACGGGUAGCUGGUCUGAGAGGACGAUCAGCCACACUGGCACUGCGACACGGGCCAGACUCCUACGGGAGGCAGCGGUGGGGAAUCUUGCGCAAUGGGCGAAAGCCUGACGCAGCGACGCCGCGUGAGGGAUGACGGCCU